This 379-nucleotide ribosomal RNA is filed under the name uncultured eukaryote. Its description in RNAcentral is "partial 18S ribosomal RNA". It matches the Rfam family "Eukaryotic small subunit ribosomal RNA", at positions 592 to 975 of the family's 1831-position model. The record is from RNAcentral.
CAAUAGCGUAUAUUAAAGUUGUUGCAGUUAGAACGCUCGUAGUCGGAUUUCGGGGCGGGCCGACCGGUCUGCCGAUGGGUACGCACUGGUCGGCGCGUCCUUCCUUCCGGAGACCGUGCCUACUCUUAACUGAGCGGGUGCGGGAGACGGAUCGUUUACUUUGAAAAAAUCAGAGUGUUUCAAGCAGGCAGCUCGCUCUUGCAUGGAUUAGCAUGGGAUAAUGAAAUAGGACUUUGGUGCUAUUUUGUUGGUUUCGAACACCGAAGUAAUGAUUAACAGGGACAGUCAGGGGCACUCGUAUUCCGCCGAGAGAGGUGAAAUUCUCAGACCAGCGGAAGACGAACUACUGCGAAAGCAUUUGCCAGGGAUGUUUUCACUG